ACGGAAGGCAGCAGUGGGGAAUAUUGCACAAUGGGGGAAACCCUGAUGCAGCAACGCCACGUGUGGGAAGAAGCAUUUCGGUGUGUAAGCCACUGUCGUGAAGGAAUAAUGCUGGACCUCGGUCCAGUUGAAUGUACUUUGAAAGGAAGCACCGGCAAACUUCGUGCCAGCAGCCGCGGUAAUACGAGGGGUGCAAGCGUUGUUCGGAAUCACUGGGCGUAAAGGGAGCGCAGGCGGAGAUGCAAGCAGUCUGUACAAUACCGGGGCCCAACCCCGGACCUGCAGACUGGACUGUUUCUCUUGGAUAGCUCAGGGGCUGGCGGAAUUCCUGGUGUAGCGGUGGAAUGCGUAGAGAUCAGGAAGAACACCGAUGGCGAAGGCAGCUUGCUGGGGACUUAUCGACGCUCAUGCUCGAAAGUGCGGGUAGCAAACAGGAUUAGAUACCCUGGUA
This 451-nucleotide ribosomal RNA is filed under the name uncultured Fibrobacter sp. RNAcentral's name for it is "partial 16S ribosomal RNA". It matches the Rfam family "Bacterial small subunit ribosomal RNA", at positions 341 to 792 of the family's 1533-position model. Lineage: Bacteria; Pseudomonadati; Fibrobacterota; Fibrobacteria; Fibrobacterales; Fibrobacteraceae. The record is from RNAcentral.